UAACUGAAGAGUUUGAUCAUGGCUCAGAUUGAACGCUGGCGGCAGGCUUAACACAUGCAAGUCGAGCGGGGGAAGGUAGCUUGCUACUGGACCUAGCGGCGGACGGGUGAGUAAUGCUUAGGAAUCUGCCUAUUAGUGGGGGACAACAUCUCGAAAGGGAUGCUAAUACCGCAUACGUCCUACGGGAGAAAGCAGGGGAUCUUCGGACCUUGCGCUAAUAGAUGAGCCUAAGUCGGAUUAGCUAGUUGGUGGGGUAAAGGCCUACCAAGGCGACGAUCUGUAGCGGGUCUGAGAGGAUGAUCCGCCACACUGGGACUGAGACACGGCCCAGACUCCUACGGGAGGC
Molecule: ribosomal RNA, 346 nt
Filed under: Acinetobacter baumannii
Lineage: Bacteria; Pseudomonadati; Pseudomonadota; Gammaproteobacteria; Moraxellales; Moraxellaceae
Description: bacterial SSU rRNA
Rfam family: Bacterial small subunit ribosomal RNA
Source: RNAcentral